This is a long non-coding RNA of Carassius auratus (goldfish), 233 nucleotides long. RefSeq lists it as uncharacterized. The record is from RefSeq and is a predicted model, not a curated record. Lineage: Eukaryota; Metazoa; Chordata; Actinopteri; Cypriniformes; Cyprinidae. The transcript has 3 exons.
UCUCUUUUACAGCCAGUGAUAUUGAUCUACAGAUGGAAGAGUGCAUGUCCUUCACCACAGAACCCAUUCUUAUGGAAGGAUCCUCCGAAUUCAAGAUCCUGAGGAACAAGUGGACAUCUGUGGAUGACAAAAGUUUGAACACACGGUUGUCCUCACCAGUGAUGGGGUGGAGAUUCUGACCAAACUCAGAUGAAGAUUGACCGGACAAGAAUAUGGAUCAUCUUGAAGUGUGG